UGAAAGAAAAUUGAAGCUGAAUGGCUCUGAGGAUGUAAAGAUUUCAGGAAAUUCUGUCUCCCUAUAUUGGAGAUCUUGUAAGAACUGGAAGUCUUCAGAAGAUAUCUGGUCCAAGGUGCUACCAAGGAACUAUUCCCACCUCUUCCUGAAAGUUGGCCAACCCUGCCUCGGCUUAAUAAUUCCACUGAUAGAACUGCACUCCAGUGGUACUAGCUGGCACUGGCUAGGUCGCAAGGAUGAGGUUAGGAAACCGUUCUUUUUUAUUGUAAACCAAAAUCUAAUACUUAGCCAUUGGUUCUAGUUUUGAUGAAGCAAAACAAAGAACUAAUAGCUGCCCUCUUUUGGGUGAGGGCCCUUUGAAAAGGUCAACAUGGCCUUUUUCCUCUAGCGAGCUUUGCGUUCCCUGUGCACCGGAAGUGAUCCCCUGCAUGGCUGGGCUGCUCGGGCUAGAGCGUCAGGAAGAGCCUAAAGAUUAGACUGUAAGAAAAGAAAACAGAAGCCAUGUUUCGAAGACCUGUAUUACAGGUACUUCGUCAGUUUGUAAGACAUGAGUCCGAAACAACUACCAGUUUGGUUCUUGAAAGAUCCUUGAAUCGUGUGCAGUUACUUGGGCGAGUGGGUCAGGACCCUGUCUUGAGACAGGUGGAAGGAAAAAAUCCAGUCACAAUAUUUUCUCUAGCAACUAAUGAGACGUGGCGAUCAGGGGACAGUGAAGUUUACCAAUUGGGUGAUAUCACUCAAAAGACAACAUGGCACAGAAUAUCAGUAUUCCGGCCAGGCCUCAGAGACGUGGCAUAUCAGUAUGUGAAAAAGGGGUCUCGAAUUUAUUUGGAAGGGAAAAUAGACUAUGGUGAAUACAUGGAUAAAAAUAAUGUGAGGCGACAAGCAACAACAAUCAUAGCUGAUAAUAUUAUAUUUCUGAGUGACCAGACGAACAAGAAGUAGAAAGGAGGAUUCUUCUUUGGCCAUCAUUUGGUACAGUCUCAUUUCCAAGUCAUGUAUAAUCUUUAUCGCUCCCAAGGACAAGAAUUAAAAUACUCUUUUACAUAAAAAAAAAAAAAAAA
RNA transcript from Nomascus leucogenys (northern white-cheeked gibbon), 1064 nucleotides. It is a transcript of the gene named single-stranded DNA-binding protein, mitochondrial pseudogene, with no coding region annotated. Lineage: Eukaryota; Metazoa; Chordata; Mammalia; Primates; Hylobatidae. The record is from RefSeq and is a predicted model, not a curated record. The transcript has a single exon.